UUAGAGUUUGAUCCUGGCUCAGAACGAACGCUGGCGGCGUGCCUAACACAUGCAAGUCGAACGGAUUUGAGGGGCUUGCUCCUCAAGUUAGUGGCGCACGGGUGAGUAACGCGUAGAUAAUCUGCCUGAUGAUCUGGGAUAACACUUCGAAAGGGGUGCUAAUACCGGAUAAGCCCACGAGGUCUUUGGAUUCUGCGGGAAAAGAGGGGGACUUUCGGGCCUUCUGUCAUCAGAUGAGUCUGCGUACCAUUAGCUAGUUGGUAGGGUAAUGGCCUACCAAGGCUACGAUGGUUAGCUGGUCUGAGAGGAUGAUCAGCCACACUGGAACUGAGACACGGUCCAGACUCCUACGGGAGGCAGCUGUGGGGAAUUUUGCGCAAUGGGGGAAACCCUGACGCAGCAACGCCGCGUGAGUGAUGAAGGCCUUUGGGUCGUAAAGCUCUGUCAGAGGGGAAGAAAUGAUAUAGUGCUAAUACCACUUUAUCUUGACGGUACCCUCAAAGGAAGCACCGGCUAACUCUGUGCCAGCAGCCGCGGUAAUAC
This 543-nucleotide ribosomal RNA is filed under the name uncultured Geobacteraceae bacterium. Its description in RNAcentral is "bacterial SSU rRNA". It matches the Rfam family "Bacterial small subunit ribosomal RNA", at positions 1 to 526 of the family's 1533-position model. The record is from RNAcentral. Lineage: Bacteria; Pseudomonadati; Thermodesulfobacteriota; Desulfuromonadia; Geobacterales; Geobacteraceae.